Molecule: non-coding RNA, 21 nt
Filed under: Caenorhabditis elegans
Lineage: Eukaryota; Metazoa; Nematoda; Chromadorea; Rhabditida; Rhabditidae
Source: RNAcentral
UUAACGAAAUAGCUAGCUGUU